AUCUAUGGCCAUACCACCCUGAAUAAGGCACCUGAUCUUGUCUGAUCUUCAAAGUUAAGCAGGGUCAGGCCUGUUAGUACUUGGAUGGGAAACCGCCUGGGAAUACCAGGUGCUGUAGGCA
Callithrix jacchus (white-tufted-ear marmoset) is the source of this 121-nucleotide ribosomal RNA. Lineage: Eukaryota; Metazoa; Chordata; Mammalia; Primates; Cebidae. The record is from Ensembl.